This is a small nuclear RNA of Perognathus longimembris pacificus (Pacific pocket mouse), 104 nucleotides long. Lineage: Eukaryota; Metazoa; Chordata; Mammalia; Rodentia; Heteromyidae. The record is from RefSeq and is a predicted model, not a curated record.
GUGCUCACUUUGGCUAUACAUAGGCUAAGACUGGAAUGCUUCAAAGAUUAGCAAGGCCCCUGAGCAAGGAUAAUACUCAAAUUCAGGAAGUGUUCCAUAUUUUC